Molecule: long non-coding RNA, 31685 nt
Filed under: Setaria viridis
Lineage: Eukaryota; Viridiplantae; Streptophyta; Magnoliopsida; Poales; Poaceae
Description: long non-coding RNA (SVIR_LNC002517)
Source: RNAcentral
CUUGUGCUUUUGUCCCAAUAAUUUUGUUUAAUCACUAUUGCAUAUGCUUGCAUUAAAUUUGAUGGGUCCUAUUAAGGUUUGCCUAGUUUUUAUGAUUAUUCCUUGCCAACCUGGGUUUACCUUUCUGUUGGGUAGCUAUGCUUAGCUGCUAUACUUGGGUUAUGGUGGUUCUAAUGAACAAAGAUGAUGAACCUAUUUUAUUUAUGCUACACCUUUCUUUAAUUCAAGAUCAUUAUGUUAAUUGGAACAUGGAGAACCACCCAGGAAAACAGUGCUACCACAAGACUAAAUGGCUCUGGUCUUGGCUGAAUAAUUAGAAACUCUAGUUUGGGGUAACCUUACCGAAAGGGCAAGAGGGGAGGCGUUGAUGGGAUAUAGCACUCGCUCUCUUGGGAAGUGGGCUUGGCUAAGACACUAUACCCUCUAGGGGACUGCUAUGUUUCGCUUCGACCUGAAACCUUAGCGGGUUACCACAUUGCUAGCGAAUCUUUGUAAAGGCCUCGUAGCGUCCCUAUGCAAUCACACCUCGGAAGUGUGGUAUUGUGCCUGAUCAGCACAAGUGUGGUUGGGUCUAAAGUUCUUUUGAACUUUUACGCAACUUGUGGGUAAAGAUGUGCAACCUCUACAGAGUGUAAAACUGAUCGAUCAGCCGUGCUCACGGUUAAGAGCGGCCUGGACCCUCACAUGAGUAAUAUACUUGAAGAUGGAUUUAAAUUGUGGUUUAUGCUAUGGUUAUGGUUGUGCCAUAUGCUUAUGGCUUAUAUUUAUGUUUAUAUUAAUUGUGGGUUGGUAUAUACUUAUACCUUAGUAAUCAGGUGCUAAUAAAAUUUGACCAACUAAAAAUGCUUAAUGCAGUCAACCAGUCAGCCUUUCCUUGUUUAACCCUUGCAUUCAUAUUCUCCUCAUACUUGCUGAGUACGACAAGUGCUCACCCUUGCUAUAAACAACAUUGCUCAGAAGAAGAAGCUGCUAUGAAGUUGUUGUGAAGAUGGUGCUGAGUUCUAGGCGUACGCAGCCCCCAGUCGAUUGCCUGUGAAGUUUGGAGCCUCCGUUUCCAUGAUUAAGCUGUAUAUCUCUGAUGGUUUCAUAAGUCUUUGUAUCUUUUUACGUGAUACUGUUGCUGUUAUUCACUAAUGAUGUCACUAUAUGUAUGAAACUUGAUCCUGGCAUACAUAUAGGUAGCACUUGGUUUUGUCCUUAAAACCGGGUGUGACACGUGCCUGCCGUCCUCAUACUGCAGCAAGGUAAGUGGAAAGUUCCCGCGUACCUUAUUCUUUUUUGGUGUCGAGCCGAUUCUUGUGUUUGAUGAAGUCGUCGCUUUGCAGUGCCGCUCCACGUGGCUUCAACCCGCCGCUGGCGCCGAAGAAGGCGCUCCGGUUGUCGGUCGCUUCUGCGGGACUAGCCGUCACCCCGCCAGGAGCGAGCGACGGCGGCAUCAGUGAGGCCGUGGCGCCCCGCGCAGAGGCGGCCUCCAAGGUUGCGGCUGAAGAGGGGGUGCCGCAGUCAUGCGCAGCGCAAGCGCUGGCCCCUGCCUCAUCUUCUGCCCCCAUAGCCAACCUAGCAGGAUAGGAUGCUGCCCCUGGGGUUCCUCCGCACAUCGAGGUGAUAGGCCUUGAGGCGGAGGAAGAGCCGGUAGGGGAGGUACCCGCGCCUGAGGCGCCGGUCGUGGAGACAGCAGUGGUGAUGGUGGCGCCUGCCCCGGCGACGGCAACGGAGACGGUGGCACGUGUUCCAGGGGCAGCGGUGGAGACGGCGGCGCCCGCUCUGGGAGGACUGUCGGCGUUGGUCGACGAGCCGUCGGCGCUCGUCAACCCCAACGCGUGGGGGGGCGACCGCACGUUGGUUCUCCUGUGGAGACCCGCAGAGGCCCCUCUUCGUCCUGGACGAUGUCGGGGAGCUGGCAAGCUGGUCGAACAUGCAGGGUGGGAUCACAGACGUCUGUGCCACCCUGUCCUCCACGAUAGGGAAGUUGGAUGGCGUCGUCGCUCCCGUCGGUCGGGUAUAGUGUUCUCUUUGGCGGUUAUCUUUUUCCUUUCUCCGUCCUUAUAUUUUCAAAUGAUUUCUAAGCACAAAUCGUUCUACAGGCCAUUCAGGACUACAGCCGGGGGAAGUCUGAGUUCCUCCGGCGUAAGCGGGGGGUCUGGGAACGCCUCUCCAGGGAGGCGCAGCAGAACGGGGAGCUAGCUGGACGGCUCGCCGCCACACACCAAAACGCCGCCGUCCUGGAAGCGCGGGAGAAGGAGGCGCAGGAAGGUGCACGGAGGACGGAGGACAAGCUCUGGGUCACCGCCAAGAAGGCCCGUCGUGACGCCGAGGAGCUCGCCCGGUUGAAGAAGGAGCAUGAAGCCCUUCAGAAGACCGUCGAGCGCAUCCGGCACGAGCGGCACACCACUCGGCAGGAGCGUGAUGUGGCUAGCCGAGAUCGUGACCUCGAGGCGGGCCGGAAGGCUGAGGCUGAGAAGAUGGCGGUCGACCUGAGUGAGGAGGUCAAUCGGCUCCAGUCGCAGGUGCAGGGUCUUCAGACCGCUGUAUCCCAAGGAGUCGACUGGGAACGUCUGUUGCGAGCCCAAUCUGACGGUAGGGACUUCGUUGUCCUUUUUUCUUCGCUUGCAGCAUUGCACUGGUUUUUGACUUUGUGGGCUUUUUUGGACAGGCCUUGAGAGCAACCUUGCUCAGUUGAGUGACACCGCCGAUGCGGAGCGCGCCGAGCACGCCAACCUGCAGGACGUCGUCCGCAUCAUCUGUGAAGACCUUGGGAUGGUCCAAGAGGAGGGGAUGAGCUCGCUAGCGGCUUGUGUCCUCGGAACGUACCAGCGGGCGCGCAAAAUUGCCCGUGAAGCGCUCCACAUUGGCGUGAGGCAGGCCUUCGACGUCCUCGGAUCCCACUACGACCGCCUCAACUUCGACGCCAUGAGCGGGGGGUACUCCUCUGGGUAUACCAAGGCCGAGCUGGACGAGAUCGAUGCAUCAGUGUUUAAUCCUAUAGAGGCCUUGGCGUAGCUCCUGGAGGAUGAGGCCAUCCCACCGGAGGACCCGAGGACGGGCUAGCUGUACCGGGCAGGGUUGCCCAAAGAAUAUUUAAAGAAUUAAGUAGUUUCGAACACGCUUUUGUGAUGGCCGGAGAGGCCUUUCUGUUUAUGCAAUUUUUUUGAAAAAAGUUCUUCGAUCCUCUUUCUAUGUUAUGGGUUCGGAAAGAUCAGAGUGUGAGCCGGACAGGUCGGGAAGCGCCGGCGAGCAAAGGCACCGUAGCCGUCGGAGGUGUAGGUUUCUCGCAGUCCGAUCGGUCUUGCUCGAGCGUCGUUUGCACAUUCUUCUCCUCCCGUGCCAAAACGUUUAGGAAGAGGGUUGGUUUGGACAAAAGCGGUGUUUUAACAAGAUGCCAAGUGUCUUGGGCCGGAGCCCUUGACAUCCCCCGAGGGAUACGUGACCCUGGGGCAGAGCCAGGGUCGGAUAUCCCUAAGUUUGGGACGAAACUUUAGCGAAAGCAACUCGAAACAUCUCUUUUCACAAACAAAAUGGUGAAAGUAUGUACAUAGCUUAGAAGUGACAGCUAAGGGUAAAAGCGACUUAGUUGUUCGAUGUUCCAAGCAUUGGCGAAGAUCUUCCUGUCGGGGGUUGCUAGUUUGUAUGUUCCUGGUCGCAGUACUUGCGCAAUGACAAACGGACCUUCCCACGGCGGGGUUAGCUUGUGCCGACCCUUGUUGCUUUGGACAAGGCGAAGCACCAAGUCACCGACGUUGAUGGCCCGACCCUGUACCUUACUGAUGUGAUACCGUCGCAAAGCUUGCUGGUACUUGGCCGAGUGCAGCAGGGCCACGUCUCACACUUCGUCAAGCUGGUCUUGCACGUCCACGAGGGAUGCUUGGUUCCCUCGUUCGUCGUACGCUCUGACCCUCGGCGACCCAUACUCCAGGUCGGUGGGGAGGAUUGCCUCGAACCCAUAGACCAUGAAGAACGGGGUGAAGCCGGUUGCCCUGCUGGGGCUUGUCCUCAGGAUCCAUAGGACUGCGGGGAGUUCCGCAACCCAUUGGCCGCCGAACUUGUUGAGGCGGUCGAAGAUCCGUGGCUUGAGACCCUAGAGUAUCAUGCCGUUGGCCCGCUCAAACUGUCCAUUCGUGCGGGGAUGCGCUACGGCCGACCAGUCCACUCGGAUGUGGUGAUCAUCGCAGAACUUGAGGAAUUUCUUCCCGAUGAACUGCGUGUCAUUGUUCGUGAUGAUGGAGUUAGGGACUCCGAAGUGAUGGAUGAUGUCGAUGAAGAAUUGCACCACCUACUCGAACUUGAUCUGCGUGAUCAGUUGAGCCUCGAUCCACUUCGAGAAUUUGUCGAUGACGAUGAGUAGGUGCGUGAAGCCCCCGAGCGCCUUCUUGAAGGGCUCGACGAGGUCCAGACCCCAGACCGCGAAGGGCCACGUGAUGGGAAUGGUCUGGGAUGCCUGGGCGAGCAGAUGAGUUUGCCGCGCAAAGAAUUGGCACCCUUCGCAGGUGCGCACCACACAGGUGGCGUCGGCGACCGCCGUCGGCCAGUAGAAGCCUUGUCGGAAGGCAUUCCCAACGAGGGUUCUUGGUGCGGCAUGGUGGCCGCAUGCUCCGAUGUGGAUGUCCUGGAGUAACGUCUUUCCUUGCUCGAUCGGGAUGCAGCGUUGCAGGAUGCCGGUAUGGCUCCGCUUGUAGAGCUCCCGGUCGAUGAUGAUGAAGGAUUUGGCGCAGCGGGUGAUCCUUCGCGCCUCUGUUUGGUCCGUCGGGAGCAACUCGCGGAUGAGGUAAUCGAGGUACAGGGCUCUCCAGUCAGGUGGGGGGUCGGACCCCUCUGCUGGAUUCGUGUCGAUUUCCAUGACCUCGGGGUCGGAGGGGUCAGCCUCCGAGUCCGGGAUAGGUGGCGUGUUGCCGAGCUCCUUUGACUCCUCAUAGCGGAUCGAGGGCUUAUGCUGGUUGCUGAUAAAGACGCUGGCGGAGACUGGUCUCCGGCUGGAUGCCGCCUUUGCCAGCUCGUCAGCUGCCUCGUUGAAGCGUCUCGCGACGUGGUUGAGCUCGAGACCAUCAAACUUGUCCUCGAGCUGGCGGACCGCGUCGUAGUAUGCCGCCAUCUUGGGGUCGUGGCAGCUCCACUCCUCCAUGACUUGUUCGAUGACUAACUGGGAGUCGCCUCGGAUGUCUAGCUGUCGGAUGCCCAGCUUGAUGGCGAUGCGAAGCCCAUUGAGAAGAACCUUGUACUCGGCGAUGUUGUUGGAUGUGGGAAAAUGGAGGCGGAUCAUGUACCUCAUGCGUACGCCGAGGGGGUAGAUGAAGACUAUGCCCACUCUGGCACGAGCUUUCAUUAGCGACCCGUCGAAGUACAUUGUCCAGUACUCCUGCUUCUCCGGCGCCGAUGGCGUCUAGACCUCCGUCCAUUCCGCGAUAAAGUCGGCGAGCACCUGAGACUUGAUGGCUGUUCGGGGCGCGUAGGUGAUGCCCUGGUCCAUAAGCUCGAGAGCCCACUUCACGAUCCUCCCUGUGGCAUCCUGAUUUCGAAUCACUUCACCAAGGGGGAAGGACGACACGACUAUCACCGGAUGAGAGGUGAAGUAGUGCGCAGCUUCCUCUUCGUAAUGAGGACUGCAUAUAUGAGCUUUUGGAUUUGGGGGCAGCGAGUCUUGGAAUCGGAUAAGACCUCGCUGAUGAAGUACACCGGGCGCUGCACCUUAAGGGUAUGCCCCUUCUCCUCUCUCUCCACCACCAGGGCAGCGCUUACCACCUGGGAGGUUGCCGCGAUGUAGAGCAGGAGUGGCUCCCUAUUGGUCGGUGGGACCAGGAUUGGGGCCUUCGUUAGGAUUUGCUUGAGCCGGUCAAGCGCCUCCUGAGCCUCGGUGGUCCACACGAAGUGAUCGAUCUUCUUCAGGAGUCGGUAGAGGGGAAGUCCUCGUUCGCCGAGGCACGAGAUGAAGUGGCUCAGGGCCGCAAGACAUCCCGUGAUGCGCUGCACUCCCUUCAGGUUUCGAAUUGGCCCCAUGCUGGUGAUGGCUGAUAUUUUCUCUGGAUUGGCUUCGAUGCCGCGCUCGGAGAUGAUGAAUCCAAGCAGCAUGCCCCUCGGCACCUCAAAAAUGCAUUUUUUGGGGUUGAGCUUGAUGUGCUUGUCUCUCAGCCUCUCGAAGGCCAACUCAAGGUCGGGGAUGAGCUGAUCACCCUUUUUGGACUUAACCACGAUGUCGUCCACAUAAUCCUCAACGGUUCGCCCGACGAGGUCCCCAAAGCACUUGAGCAUACAUCGCUGGUAUGUAGCCCCCAUAUUUUUCAGGCCAAAUGGCAUCGUGACGUAGCAGAAGGAUCCGAAGGGGGUGAUGAAAGAGGUCGCGAGCUAAUUGGAAUCUUUCAUCGCGAUUUGGUGGUAACCGGAAUACGCGUUGAGGAAGCUAAGGGUUUUGCACCAUGUGGUUGAGUCGACUAUUUGAUCUAUGUGUGGCAAAGGAAACGGAUCCUUUAGGCACGCUUUGUUGAGACCUGUAUAGUCAACACACAUUCUCCAUUUCCCAUUCUUCUUUCGUACAAGAACAGGAUUGGCUAACCACUCGGGGUGGUACACUCCCUUGAUGAACCCAGCCGCCAAAAGCUUCUGGAGCUCCUCACCGAUGGCCUUGCGUCUCUCCUCGUCGAAGCGGUGCAGGCCUUGUCUCACCGGUUUGGAGCCGGCCUUGAUGUUCAAGGAGUGCUCGGCAACUUCCCUCGGGAUGCCUGGCAUGUCCGAGGGUUUCCAUGCAAAAACAUCGUUGUUUGCGCGAAGGAAGUCAACGAGCGCGCUUUCCUAUUUGGGGGAUAGGGUAGCGCCUAUCUGCAGUGUCCUGCUAUUGGAGAAGUUGGGGUCGAGGGGGACCUCCACGCCUUCCGUGGCUUCGAAGGAGGUGGAGGACUGCUUGGAGUCGGGCAGGUCCUCGGCGCCCUCCGCAAGACGGACCGCGUGGUCCUCCGAGCAAGUGAUGUCCGAGGCGUACUCGCAGCACUCGGCAUCACACUCGUACGCCUUCUGGAAAGACGCACCGACGGUGAUGACCCCGUUGGGCCCCGGCAGCUUAAGCUUGAGGUAGGUGUAAAAGGGGAUGUCCAUGAACUUGGCAUAGCAUGGCCGUGCCAAGAUGGCGUGGUAGGUUCCGCGAAAGCCUACCACCUCGAAAGUGAGGGUCUCCUUCUUGAAGUUGGAAGGAGUCCCGAAAGUGACGCGCAGGUUGAUCUACCCGAGGGGCAUUGCCCGUUUCCCCGGCACGAUGCCGUGGAAUGGCACCUCGCUAGGAUGGAGAUGGGAUCGGUCGAUCCCCAUGGCGUCAAGGGUCUCGGCGUAGAGGAUGUUGAUGCCGCUGCCUCCAUCCAUGAGCACCUUGGUAAGGCGCUUCGUGCCAACGAUGGGGGUCGACAACGAGGGGGUAGCGUCCCAGCUACGGGAUACGCUCUGGGUCAUCGGACUGGUCAAAGGUUAUGGUGGACCUUGACCAGUCGAGGAAGGCCGGGGUAGCGGGGUCGGCUGCAUAAACCUCGCGACAUUCCAGUUUUCAGCGGCACUUGGAGUCGUAGGCCGCUGGCCCGCCGAAGAUCAUGAAGCAGCCAUCCACGUUGGGGAAGCCGUAUUCCUUCUCUCUGACAUCCUUCCUCUCUUAUUCGGGCUUCCGUCUCCGAUCGCCCUUCACCGGAUUGCCUACAAAGUACCUCUUCAUGAGGUUGCAAUCCUUGUAGGCAUGCUUGACGGGGAACUCAUGGUUCAGGCACGGUCCCUCAAGCAGCUUGUCGAAGAAGCUGGGGGUGCCCUCGGGAGGCGGCUGUCCCCGUUUGUGCUCGGCAACAGCCACGAGGGGAGCCUCGCGCCGUUGCUUGUUCUUCUUCCUCUACUAGCGGUUGGAGGUGCCCUCAUCGACGUCCUCCUCCCAUUUCGCCUUGCCUUUAGAGCGAUCAAAGAUCCCCUCGACGGCUUCUAUGCCCGAGGCAAAGCUGGUGGCGAUGUUGAGGAGCUCCUCGGUGGUCUGUGGGCCCCUGCAUCCCAACUCGUGGACCAGGGGCCUGUAGGAGGUUCCCGCCAAGAAGGCUCCAAUGACGUCUGCGUCGUCGACGUUGGAGAGCUCGGCGCUUCCUAGAGAAGCGCCGGAUGUAGUCUCGGAGGAACUCAUCCGACCCCUGACGGCAGCUCCGGAGGUCCCAGGACUUUCUGGGGCGCAUGUACGUGCCCUGGAAGUUCCCUACAAAGAUUUUCUUUAGGUCAUUCCAGUUCUGGAUCCGACCUGAUGGAAGGUGUUCCAGCCAGGCUCACGCUGAGUCAGCUAAGAAUAGAGGGAGGUUGCGGAUGAUGAAUAGGUCGUCAUCCACCCCAACGGCCUGACAGGCAAGCCGGUAGUCACUGAGCCAAAGCCCGGGGUUCGUCUCCCCAGAGUACUUAGCCAUGUUGGUGGGCUGCCUGAAACGUGUCGGGAACAGCGCGUUCAGAAUGCACGCGGAGAAUACUCUGGGCCCUACUAGGUCGGGGCUCGGGCUCCGGUCUUCUUCGCUGUCGUAGCAGCCACCACGGUGUACGUGGUAGCCGCGGUCGGCUCCGUCCUCCCUGUCUGUGCGAGAGCGCCUCCACGCGUCUAGGGUGUCACAGGCGUCGUGGAUGGGACCAACGCGCCGAUGGACAAAUGGGGCUCCGCCACCUGCAGGCAGUGGGGUUCGUCGAGCGAGCGCGGCCUGGUUCCCCCCAGGAGGAGGCUGGUGGACAGACUCCCCGUGCCUUUCAAGAGGCGUGGUGCGCGCUGCCCUGCUGGCGUUGUGCCCGUAUCGCCGGGACGCGGAGCUCUCGGCCUGCUGGACUGCGGCGCACUCAAGCAAGUUGCGAACCUCUUGGUGGGCCUGUCGCUCCUUGGGCGUCGCUGGCUCGGGGAGUCAUCGGAGUAGGGCCGCUGCGGUGGUGAUGUUCUGUCUGGCGCGUGCGAAGAGUUGAGGACGAUCCUUGUCCUCGCAGAUGCGCCGCUGGAUGUCGCGUGCCCGUUGAUUGCUCGACCUCCUGAUUGGGCACCGCGCGCGCCUCCGGUAGCCGAGGCUGCUCCGAGACCCUGGCGAGGGCUCCAGCAGUAGCUGCGGCGCGUGGUGGGGGAGUGUGCUGCCACCCUUCGCCCCGUUGUCAUUGGACCCCCGCGGAAUGUACGUCAGCCAUGAAGCACUCACGCGAGGGGUGGUGGCUCCCAUUGUUGGAACCAGCGUCGGAGGCCGUUUCCAUUACGCCCACGAACUUGUUGUUCACAGGUGGCACGAUAAUGGAUCGUUCCAGGAGACGACCGUAAGUCGUCGCGGCGUUGCGUAGGCCAAAAGGUCGCUCCUCCGAAGGAGGCCCUGUGGUGCGCGCCCGGCCGCUCACCACCGUUCCGACGGUCGAGCCGGAGGUGACGGGGUGAGCGGGCAGGACAAGGAGAGAAAUCAGCUUGAUUCCCUCUCCCGUGGCGAGGAAGUCUAGGCUCUCGAAGCGGAUGUGGGAGCCGGGAGCGAAGCCGAUGUCGUGGUUGGCCAUCCGAAGCCGGUGAUGAUCGUCAUACGCGCAAAGGCCUCCCACCUAGCGCACCAAAUAUCGGUGUUAAGAAUCACAGGUCAAGACUCCAGCAAGUAAAUUUGUUUUCUAUGCGCGUAAGGCUCGGGUGGUUGCACUAGAGGACACGAAAUUUAUACUGGUUCGGGCAGGAAUAGCCCUACGUCCAGUGUGGGAGGCUGCUCGUGUUACUCGUGCCAAGUUUGUAGUAGGGGUUACAAAUGGGCGAGAGAGGGAAACUGGUCCCAAGUCUCUGUGGGUGUGCACUGAUGCUCGUGAGGUUGGAUUACGGGUCGGGGUCGGAUCGUUCUGUUUGAGAGCCGUCCCUUUCUCGGGACCCUUGGUCCUCCUUUUAUAGUGUAAGGAGGACACAGGAGUUACAAUCGAGCCAGGAGUAAAGGGAAGUAAAAAAAGUAAGCAAGGAAGGUAAAGCACAGGGAGACGGGUCGAGCCACCGGGGUUGCCGCCUUCCCUUCUGAUUUCUACAUCCUGUCAGCAUGGCUACCAAAGAGGGGUGGUUGUCGUUGGGUCCCAUCGAUGACCCAGUAGUCGGCCACUGCACCUGAGCACGCGAGACGUGCGUGGCAACCGACCACUGUAGCCAUGCGAGUUGAUGAUGAUGACUAGCCACCGUAGCCGUACACAUCGCAGAUGACGAGCGACCACUAUAGCCACGCGUGCUAACCGGGGGGCGCGGCUGACACGCCCUUGCCGCCGAACGAGCGGGAGACUGGGCAGCGCACCCUCCUUCGUUAGGUAGCAUGGGCGAUGAGUGCCCUAUGACGAAUGUCAUAGGGGAGGGUUAGGACGGUGCAGUUGUAGCCCUGUGCAGUCAUGGCAGUAGUGCGCCACUUGAAAACUCCGGCUGGUCACGUCAAGGAACGCGGGCGCCUCUCCGUGUGUCAGAGCCGUAUUCCGGACAUCCGUGUCCCACCGAUUGCAUUUAUGGUGAGAUCGGUGGAGGCCCACAAGAUCUGCGCCCUCGUUUGCUGGUUUGAUCACGUCCUUGGGCAAGGCGAAGCUCUGUGUUGUGGGUCCGGAUACGUCCGACCCUUAGCGCCCGGGAUCCGUCGGCGAGACGGAGACCUGCUGCGAGGGGUCGGGCGAGGCGGAGACCUGCUGCGAGGGGUCGGGCGAGGCGGAGACUUGCUGCGAGGGGUCGGGCAUGUCCGACCCCUCUCGCCCGGGGGUCGGGCGAGGCAGAAUUCUCUCGGCUGGGAUGAGGAGCGGCCUCGGGGGUUUGAGCGUGUCUGACCCUGUGACCCAGGGGUCGGGCCAAGUCGGCGAAGGUCACUGUUGCUGGGGGUGGGCCCGGGCCUUUAUGACUGUUGUUUAAGGAAUAUAAGGAAGUCGUUAAUAUUUCCCCCCGACACCGUGCUUGGUUCAAACAAAAUAGUUAGGCAUGAAUCCAUAAUUGUAUAUAUGGGCAUGAAUAGUCUUUCUAGAUGAGUAAUCCUUCUCAUUUUUGCAAUUUCUGCAUGGACAACAAAUGAAACCGGACAAUGGUUUGUUAGAUUCUGCCUCAUCAAGAAAACCACACAAGCCAUUAUGUACUCCAUGGAACCUUUGUCUGCGUUGUACAUCCAUUGCCGAUUCAUCUACAAAAUAUUACCGAACAAAAAUAUUCUGAUCAUCCAUAUAAUUAUAAGCAUAUGAAUUGAAAUACUUAAUCUAAUUUUUCUAAGUAUAUACAUAUGAAUUGGUUUUUGAAGUAUAAGCAAAUAAAUUAAAAUACUUAAUUAAUUUUUCUAAGUAUAUACACAUGAAAUGUUUCUGAAGUAUAAGCAUAUGAAUCAAAAUACUUAGGUCCCGUUUGGAUACACAGUGCUAAACUUUAGCAUAAUACUAAAUUUUAGCACCCUCAAAUGGAGUGUUAAAGUUUAGCACUUGGGGCUGUUUGGAUAUAGUGCUAAAGUUUAGCACCUUGGAUGAAAACGACUACAUUGCCCUCAUUUAUGGCUGGCUUGGGGAAAAGUGGAGAGGAGAGAGAGGUGGCAACUAGGGAAAAAGUGGGCUUGGGACCACUUUUAGCACUAUUAGCAGGUUUUAGCACCCCUUGGGUGUGCCAAUGAAAAGGGGUGUGCUAAACUUUAGCACACCACUUUUUGCACACAUGUUUGGAUGCACAAGUGCUAAAAGUAUGCUAAAAGUGUUGUGCUAAAGUUUAGCACCAUGUAUCCAAACGGAGCCUUAAUCUAUUUUUUCUAAGUAUAUACAUAUGAAUUGGUUUUUGAAGUAUAAGCAAAUGAAUUGAAAUACUUAAUCUAAUUUUUCUAAGUAUAUACACGUGAAGUAUAAAACAAAUACCAUUAAACUCAAAUGUUGCUGAAAGUUUAGAGAGAAAUACACAAAUUAUCUUUAUGUACCACAAUUUAUCUCACUCACAUUUGCCAUAAUUUAUUUACCUCGUAUUUGAAAAGUACUAAACUAUGAAAAGUACUAGAAUGAAUUGUAGCAUCCAAAAAUUUGUAGCUUAUUCUACGAAUCACAAAUAUGAGCUCUAAAUAACAUGUUCAUAUAAAUGAAAAUUUUCCCAUUGUAUCUUAUUCUAAAAAUGACAAAUUACUAUAGCUCUAAAGUAUAAAAAUUAGUAUACUAACCAUAUAUCAAGGGACGAUGAAGUUUCUAACCUUAAGAACACUUGAAUGAGUGAAAUCUCCAAGAAACGGUCACAAAUCUGACAGCACCUCCCCCUAUUCACCAUGGAUAGGGUGAAGCUCGAGCUGGAGGAGAUGGCUCAGGCUGGAGGAAGAAGGAGGGAUAUUUAUAGAAAGAAAAUUAGUACCGGUUGGUGCCCACAACCGGUACUAAAGGGAUGCCCAUUAGUACUAGUUGGUGCCCCAACCCGGUAUUAAAGGAGGAGGGGUGCCACAUUAGUACUGGAUUGGGGCAGCAACCGAUACUAAUGGGUACCUCUUUAGUAACGGUUGUUGCCACCAACCGGUACUAGAGGGUAGGUGGUGCAUUAGUACCGGUUGGGGGCACCAACCAGUAACCGGUACUAAUACUAACAUUAACAUUAGUAUCAGGUCUGAAGUUGAUCGGUACAAUAUCGUGGGAUGAGAGGUUAUUUUUCUAGUAGUGGUCGAAUCCGAGUAGCUGCCAAAGUGCAUUGCAGUGCGAGUGGCGGGAGAGGAUGGCACCGGCAUAUUUCCAGUGGCAGCUAGCAGAGCUGACCUGUGAUGGGUGUGAGGAAUCGAUCAUGCAACACGCUGCAGCAACAAGCACUCGCUGUGCAUACAUGGUCGGGCAGCGCUAGUCUGUCGCCGUCCGGCGGUGAUGGAUCAAAGCUGCUUGCCGAUCUAAUCAUAAAUAUAGAUGGCCAUAUGGCCUGUGGUACGUGGGCUGGCUCACGGCACGAGAUUUUAGCUCGAUCCAGGCACGAUCUUAGAUGGACUGGGCUGGCCCGGGCCAACCUUAGUGCUGGGCCUAGGCCGUUGCGUCAUCCUGUGGGUCGGCCCGGCCCAGCACGGUUAGCGGUCGGCCCACCGAGGCACAAUGAAGGCACGCUUAAGCACGUUUAAUUGUAAUUUGUAUGUGUGUUGUAUGUGCAUUACCUCUGAAUAUAUGUGUUUGUAUGUACAAUACCUCUAAAUUUUUGCUUUUGAAAAUUUAAUUUGCUGAAAGAUUUUUUUAGUUGAGAUGGGCUAGAAUGGGCACAAUGGGCCUUUAUGGUCCUGACGGGCCACCGGGCCAGCCCGGCACAGCUAACAGCCUUUAGUGCCAAGAUUGGGCUGCUGCUUGGGCUGACCUGGCCCGGCAUGAUUAUGAUAUGGGCCAAAUUAUGCUGGGCCUAAACUGUGCCCGAGCCAGGUUGGACCGAGCCGCCCGUUUAACCAUCCGUACUCACAAAUCAUAAAAAGAAGCGCAUGGCGAGCCUCAACCUGACCAGAGGGAGGACCACGAAGGCCAUGGGAUUAAAGAACCCUUUUCAUUUUUAACCACCGUUGGAUUUGAACUAAUAUUUAAGAGGGGAGGAGGUAACCUUUGGUUCCUUUCAAGCACCAAAACAUCUCUCGUUAUAAGGUUGUUUUCAUAACAAUAAUACAGAUUAGAAUAAAAACUAGCCCGUGCAAUAAUGCAUGGAUUAUUCGCAACUAGUACAACAAAUUAUAGAUGACAAUCCAUGACCCUUGAUCAGCAUUCAGCAAACAAGAGCGGUGCCCAUGUAGCUUACAAAUUAAGCAGAUUUAUUGCUCAGAAUAUAUUUUUGACCUCAUCUGGGUGCAGGUAUAUGACAAGCAGAGCAAAAAGGCCAGUAAUUGUGAUGGCUGCACAAGUCCAGGCAGUCCAGAACUUCCGGGAGCUUUCAUACCUUUUUAUCUCUGUCAUCUGAGCCAAAAUCACAAUGCGAACUGUGUGGCAGAGGAUGCUAAACACCCCCCAGCCCACAAAGACUUUCCACGACCAGCCGCUUCCGAUGCCGUCGUAACUUGAAUGGAUGGCCAUGAUUGCUAGGAGAAUGGACGAGAUACCAGCCGUAAAAAGAUACCGGGAUAACUUGGCUUCGUCUUGCCUCACAUCAUGUAGGCUCCGUUGUGCAGGAGGAUCUUUCGUGGGCAGGCCAGAUGAACCUUCUGCGUCACACAAGCAGAGCAACGCAAGGAUGGCAAUGCCACAGCACACCAAGAACACAUACUCCUGGAGGAUCUUCUCAGCAGCCACGACAGUAGCCACGACGAGGAACAGCAGUGCGAUGUAGGCGAUGCCGGGUAUCCAUACCUUGGCCAUACGACGGAUCACGUCUGUCUUGGAGCUCAGUGAGGGUGGCACCGUGCAGAAGAGCACCACGAGCAGGCCACAAACAGCGCUGUAGAACAGGAAGCAUUCAGGUGCCACUGCCAUGUGUCCACCGGUCAGAUCUGAGGAUCCCUUCACGUAGCCAAGGACUUUGCCGGAUAGCCCUGCAACCGACGGUGCCACGACCAGGGCAGACAUCUCGAAUCCUCGAUCCAGUGAUUCCUUGAAAUGUAGCCACCUCAACCCAGGCUCUUUUCCUUGGCCUAACAUCUGACAAAAGAAGUAGAUGACAAGUACAAGGACGGAGCCGAAAAGAGCGAACACGAUCACGGUGUCUGUGGUGUUGAAGAACAGCAUUAGGGCGGUAGCAGCGGAGAUUUGCAGGAUGGUUGACAGGUAGGCCAUCAUCCAUCGCACCCUGAACUGCCGGGUCACAAACAUCAUUUUCAUUUCCAUGUCGGUGAAAAACGAGACGACGAGGCACGCCAGAUACAUGAUGGUCCACGGCGAUGUAAAACUGACUUCGUGGUAUUUCAUCUUCGCAAAGAAAGAGAGGGCCAUACAGAUGUUCACCAGAGGGACUCCCCUGCUGUAGAAAGCAGAGAGGUUUUCUUUAACCAUUUCCUCUGCUUCAAUUAUCAUUGCAUCCUACAAAAUUAAUGUAGACAGGCAGACAAGAUGUUGGCAUAAAAUUCGAUUUUCAAAUUGUAUGAAAAAGAUAAGUUGGUGAAUAAGGUCAAGAAACAUAUUAUUGAGAAAUGCAAUGGUCGUUUAUUAAAAUCUGUUAGGGUUCGUUUGGGUCAUUGGAAUUGUGCUGAAUUGGAAUCAUUCUUCCAGGGUAUGUCUGUUUGGCUGCACGUUGAAUCUAGCUAAUUGCUAAAAUAUGAUUCAUGAAAUGAAUUUCAAUUCUAGGAUCCAAAUGGUUUAAGGGUGAAAUGGUUUGAAGCAUUCGGCUUGUGCAUAAACAAUGUUCAAUUAUUAUGUGCUUGCUUAUGUUGUCACUAACCGGAGAGUUGGGAGUUAGAUGGGCAAAUGUGUCUUCACGCUCAUGAUGUGCUCAUGAUGUGCAGGCACAUAGAAUUGGCAUGUCGGUUGAUAGAGAAGCACAAGUAGAAGGCUUGACCAUAAGACUCGGAGUGGAGUCAUGGGCGACCCACGCCAUACAUAAUAAGGAGAAUGUGAGAAACAUGAGAAGAUGACCACAGCAACAUGGUUAAAACCAAGUCAAGAUGAAUGUCAAUUGAAUAGAAUGUGGCCCGAGCUAGAGUGAGAGAGGAAAUGACCUGAAGGUGCAUAUUCUUUAAGGAAUUAACAUGAGUCAAGAUCAAGGAGGCUUUAUUCAGGAUCAAGAAGGUAUUAUGUACAUGAGCCAUGACUUAUUAAGCACAAUUUGCAGAUGGAAAUUGCCCCAUUCGUAUGACUCUGCUACGACCACGUGUUUUGGAACUUUUGGUCUAUAAUAAGGGACCGUAAUCUUAACGAUUUGAUCCCCUAUUCAUUGCAGGGUUGUACGAAUGGGUCGUAUGUAUAGCAUGGUCGUAUGUAUAGCAUAUUGUCCAAACCUCAAGUGGUAGUUUCAUGUCAACUUUCAUAUUGAGAACAAGGAGGAAGGUUUUGAAGGGCUGUAGUUGUUGCUUAUGGAGCAGCACAAUAAGAUUUAAAUGAGGCCUUUCUCAUAGAAAUGUUGCAGAUGCGUAGUAAUGAAAAUAAACCUCUAAUAAUUAGUGGAGACUUCAAUACAGUAAUCAUAAAACUAGAAGGAAAAAAUAAUGAUAAAUAUGAUAGCUCUUUUACGAUGGUUGGAAGGUACCGACGGUACUUUUAGAUACUUUACCCCUCUAAUUUUUUCUGACCGUUGAUCUCAGAAUGAUAAAUAUUAUAGGGUAAGGGUACUUUACUGACAAAAAAUUAAUUAAAUUGAGUCCCGGUCCACCAGUUUUGUACUUCCUGGUACUUUGUUGUGCGUACUUCUUAUUUUUCCACAAUUGGAUUCCUACUGAUGGAUGUCUCGUAUUUUUAAGGCUACCGUAAAAUUUCUCUAAAUAUGAUGAUAGAUGGUUCAUUCUUUUUAAUACUUUUAUAGAAAGUCUGGAUUCGAGAGAUUUAGAGCUCCCAAGUGGACGAUUCACAUGAGAAAAUAUUUUUGUGACUACUGACUGGGAGUAGAAUUUCCUUUAGCCACAAUACAUGCUCUACAUAGAAAUAUUCCGAUCAUAAUGCUACUUGAUUCAGGAAAUUCUGCUCACUUUGGAACCCAACGUAUGUUUAAAUUUGAAUUAUGUCGGUUAACAAGUACAGAGUUUUACGAUUUAGUAGUAGAUGUAUGGAAAAAUAAAGUAAAAGGAUCUAGUGUGCUACAGUGAUGGUGAAAUAAAUAAGACAUGUUAGGCAAAAUAUGGUGGGGAAAAGAGUAGAAAAGAGAAAAAAAUUAUAAUGAGUUUCAUAGACAAUACAGAUAAGAGAGUGGAAUUGUCAGUUCUAUCUCAACAUAAGUCUGAUGCAUUUAGAUGUUUAAAUGAAAGAUUAUCUCAAACACUAAGAGAAGAGGAGAUAUCCUGUUAUUAAAGAUAAAAAACUAAGAAGCUUUUCGAUGGGAAUUGAAAUAAAGAAUAUUUCAGGUAAUUGCUAAUUGUAAGGUUUUUCCAGUUAGAAGGUUAUAACGGUGUGAUAAAAGAUGAAAUAGAGUCAAAAGAUUAUAUAACAAAAUUUUUACCAAGAUCUCUUCGGUUCGCUCGAUACACAAAUAUAUUCACUAUGAUGGAAGAUCGAUUUGAUGAUAUUCUGCAGGUUUCAAAUAGUGAAAACAAAACUCUAACAUUGGUUUUCUCAAAAGGAAGUGAACGAUUCUGUUUUUCAAAUGGAACACAACAAGACACAAGGUCCAGAUUGAGUGCAUGACUCGUGCGGACACCGGAAUAAAGAUUAUUCCUUUAUCUGAAAAAUUAAAUCUAAUGUUUGUCAAAUUUGUAUAUGCCUGGGUUCCCUCCUUCUAGUUUCCCUCUCCUUACUUUUGUGAUUUUUGAGCAAUACUUUGUCUUUGUUCCAAUAAUGUUAGAAAAAAAUGUACAUCAUGUGUUGCAAUAUGUAUCUUUAUUUGCUUUUGUUGUUCUUCAUAGAUUUUAAUUGCAGGAGAUUACAAUAACAUUAGAGCAAAAUAAUAUAUUCUCAUUCGUUGUAGCAUGUGUCUUUAUUUGCAACACUAUUGAAAAUUGUGGUGCCCUAUUUAGACGGUAUUAGAGUUGAGGUUCAAAGCUAGACAAACUGAAGACGUGAGAGGCUAAAGAUAGACAUUCCCUCAUGAAAAAGAGUUCACAACCUCCUUAGGAUUCGAACCCAUGACCUUCCCUUAUGAAAAAGAGUUCAUGACCUCCUUAGGAUUCGAGAUUCGAACCCAUGACCUCUUACUUCACACGAGGCACCCUUAACCACCGUACCACACAAUCGUUUGUGACUAGAAUACGGAUGCAUCGCUUUUAUAUUAACUAUGUUGGAUAUUAAAUUUAACAUUUGGACAUCAAAAUGGUCUCAAAUCCGAGUGUUUCAACCGUAAAGUUUUAGAUAUUAUCGUGGUUUUAUUUAAAGUCUAGAUUAUGUAAAUGUCAAGUUGUUUUAAUCUCUCGCUUUUCUUCCCGAUACCCGAUUCGGAGGCCUCUGCUUCAAAUGUCCAUAACUUUCUCUUACGGACUCCAAAUUAGGCGAUUUUUUAUUCUACAAACAUCUAUAGAAAAUUUUACAUCCACUGUCCCCUUUUUUGCUAGGUUUGGCGAAAUUAGAUUCACAAAAUUCGGCCCGGAAGACUUUCUAUUCCACGUUUAAAGUUUGUGCACACUUUUUAGAGUCAACUUAUGAUUUUGCGUAGGCCACAUCUUACAUCCGGCUUAGCUAAAAUUUGGUGUGGUUUCCUUUUGUGUGCUUCUAGUGCUAGGAAAAAUACCAGAAAAAUCAUGGAAAAAAUAAAAAUGUUUAGUGUUCCAAAAAAAAAAAACAAGAGCAAACACAUUAUUUUCUAUAGUCCACACCUUAUAUCCGAUUGGAUUAAAAAAAUUAUGUUCCCUUGUGUGCUCCAAAUUGAAGAAAAAAUAUAAAAAAUUAAAAAAAUAAAGAAUCGACAUGCACUGUGGUUUACAACCGGUGGUGAAGAACCCCCCUCCCCUUUCACCGCCAGUUCAAGCCACGAACCGGCAAUGAUGCCCCCUUCACCAUCGGCUCCAAUCCUCCCCCUCCCCCCAACCCACCCCCCGCCCCACUCUUCCCCAGCGCCACCUACCUUCGGGCCAACGGUGUGAUGUCCCUUCACUGCUGGUUUUUGCUAAACCAGUGGUGAAGGGGGGCGUUGGAGAAUGCUAUAUGUGUAGUGGUGAUACCUAGGCCUGUCUAAAAAGUCUAUUGGCUAGGAAUGAAUUUCAGAUGUUUACAUCACAAAACCAGCCAGUAAGAAUGCCUUAGUUGUUAUAGUUUCACUUAGACUCAAGAGGAGCCUUUAUGGCUCUAAAACAAUUGGCAAAAAAUAUCACAAAAUUAUAACCAUUUAUAAAGUAUUAGUAAAUCACUGCAAAAUGGAAUCCAUUGUUACUAUGUGAAUGGGAGAGGAAGGGUCAUGUACCAGUUCUUUGUCGUAAUCUGUUUGACGAUACUGUCGUGAACUCAUUCCUUCAAGCUAAGUACAUACCAGCCAUAUCAAGGGAAAGAUAAAUAGGCAUCAGAUAUCUCAAAGAAACAAAACUGACUGAAGCAUUUAUCUAGUAUAUUGAAUCAUUAACUAUAAAAAAUGGGCUUGUAUCAUAUGGUCAUGUCAAUCGAAUUAAUCUGGUUUACAGAACCAUCUGCCAUAGUUAUAUUCAUUAUGGAUUUUUAAUUUUCCGUUAUAUUCUAUCAAUUAUAGUUGAUCGCAAUGAAACUGAUAAUUUAGAUGUGAACUGACAUUUUAGUGAAAACGUUUAGUUCAAAACGUUUCUUUACAUGAAGCGUCAACAUCAAGGUCUGUAUAAUAUCCCCCACCUCCUCGGCCCUAGGUACAAAAAAAAGCAUAACUACCGAAAGGCUGCUAAUAAAAUUAAGGUUUGAAAUCUAUGAUACAAGACUUUUGUUCCUGCACAUUGUUGUUUACUUAUUUGGAAAAUAUGACUAUUUCAAUGCCCAUAAUCAAUUUAAGAAAAUUCAGUGAACCAAAUUUAAGUUAAAUAUCUAAGGAUAGUUUAUAUCUAGCAUAAUUAUCUAUUCUCGCUUGUAAAUGUAUGACGUUUAGACAUCAACAUGUUUUUUUAGUAAACAUUUUUUUACCACGUUUUACAUAAAAAGUGAACAAAAAUAUGGAAGUACAAUGUUAUGAAAAUAUAUCUCAUGACAAAUCCAAUGAUGACAUUUACAUGGAUUGUAUGCGUUCUAAAACAUGGUACAUUUAUGAACAUAUAUAGAUAAUACUGCUUAAAAUAUCUACCAUAAUAAUAUUUGAAUGCCACCUGCAACAUUACCUCUUGAUUGUUUAUUUUCUCUACCCUAUUUGCGGUGACUUGUGGUGGAAAUGCGCGGGUAAAAAAACAUGUAUUGCAGUGAAGAAUAAGCACCACCAUAAAGUCUAAGUUCUAAUGAAGUCAUCCUGUUCGUGACCAAAAAUUGCCAGGAUCUGGGCAGACUGGUUCUGGCAAAGUCCUCAAAAUGUAAAUUGGACUUCACCAUUGUGUAGCUCUCGUUGAUUAGAUCAAAAUGCCUAUGUAUAACGUCCGAUUUGGAAUUUUGAUGAAAGAAUUAUGAUCUCGGGAAGAUCUACACCCAGGAAAACCGGUCAGACUGGCUUGAUUUGUGUAGUCUGAGUUAGGCGUUGUAUUUUAACACGGGAUUUGUAAGGGUUUCGACUCCUAACAGGGCAAGACCUUCCCUCCCUGUAAAUAUAAAGGGCCCAAUCGAUCAAAAACAAAUCAAUCCACUAUUUUUGCUUUUGACCUUUUUUCUCUUUGCCAUAACUUUUCCAUCCCCAUCUUGUUGUUCUUUCUUUGUCUCUACAGCGUCUGAGGACGUUCUAGGUGGCCUGCUGAUCCUAGAACAACCCAAGGUGCAUCUGCCCUUACGGGUCCCUCCCGGACAAGCAUUCGAUGAUUUCUUCGCCGGGCUCGCUGGCGAAACCAGUCGGACCGGCCAUCAUACCGGUCUGACUGGCCUGUGCAAAGGAGUAGCAAGGAGCCCCCCUCUGCACGCUGCACAUUCGAGGCUUUCGUGUGUUAGUCCUAAAUUUGCACCAACACAUCCUUCUAUCCCAUACCUGUACCAUUUUGUGUGCUACAUGUGUUUCGGGAAUUCACUAGCUAGCGAAUAUUCUUGUUAACGAAAGAUUGAACGCAUUGAUUGCAGUAAAACACAGAUAUAUGGUGGCUGGUGACUGGAGAAUGAACGGGGCAACAAAAGAGAACAAAUACAUAAAUGAACUUAUAGUAUAAUUUUGGCAAUACUUACCUGACUGCCUAGCAUUCAAUGUUCGGGCCGUUGGUACCAAAUCCACUAUAAGCUGAGUAGCUGGUGCUCCACUCCUCUGCUGCGUCUUUGGAAAGGUAGUUUGAUCUUUGAACUUGCUCCUAUUUUAUAUAUAGCCACAUCAUUGAGAUGGUUUGGCAAUUUCUGCAUUCAUGUUUAUACUGAGAUACAGUUCAACUGUCCAAACACUAUGAAAGAAAUGACCUAUAGUGACACACACAAAAGGCAAGUGCCUUGCAUCACCCAUAAGACAAGAGUGACGCACAGAGAUAAUGUGCGUCACCUAUAUAUGUCCCUCGGGCAGGCGCCUAAACAUGACUCGUCACCUUCCAGUGAUCAAAAGUGACACGGCCGAAUUAAGCCCAUCACCUAACGGGCCACAUUUGUGGCCCGUCACCUAUAAGUUUAAUAUAGGUGACGGAUCUUGUUAAAGCACGUCAUCUAUAAUAGCGGUAACGGAUUUUGUUAAAGUCCGUCACUUAUAAGUUCAAUAUAGGUGAUGGGUCUUGUUAAAGCACGUCAAAGGUGACGGGCAACAUCAAAGUCCGUCACCUUUGUGACUUUUGUACAUAAUUUUAAUAUUUUCAUAAUAUUUUUUUAUUAAUUUAGAUGAUGACAAACUUUAUAUCAACAACUUCGUAGUUGAAAAGUUUUUUAUUUGAUGUCAUUUUGACAAUGAAAUCUUCAUUUUUAAAUUUAUACUUGAUAUAUCAUAAGGAAAACAAUAACAACCUAGUCACAUGUGAUGUCUAGUCUAGAUGGCAAAGGAUCCUCACGCGUGACCAGCGUUCCGGGUUUGAAUCCUGGUAGUGCCGAAGUUUGAAAAAUCGGUAUAUUUUGAGUGAAUAAAGUCUAGAGGGUAGAGGGAGUGGCUGAGUUGGCUCGUUCGUGAUAAAAAAAAUUAAAAAAAAAUAGACUAUGAAAUAGUCAUUAGUGACGGGCUAAGAAUGACGCACGUCACCAUUGUGGUGACAUAGGCGACCAGCUUUAACCCAUCACUUUUGACGGGUCAUUAGUGACGUAUCAUGCAAUGAUGUCCGUCACUAAAGAUCAGAUUUUACAUAGUGAAAAUCACUCUUUCAAAAUAUUUCUGUAUAUUUUACUUCUCUAUCUCUAUCUCCGUCUGCUAAUAUAAACCAGAUAUUGGUCCUGGCCUCCUGGGUCAUCCUUAGAGCAUGCUGAGGCUUUAUAUGUAUAUGCUUAGCUUCACAAUUGUGAUUUUGUAUAUGGCUCAUAAUAGUUUUUUAAGGAAUGCACGGUCCCUAAAAGUUGAGAACCCCAAUUCAGAAUCCUGUUGUUGGCAAAUGUGGUGAGCUCUCAAUCCUCCAUCAAUACACUACACACCAAGUCAGCCUUGCGGGGUGGGGUUAGCCUAUAUAUGUAACCACCAAACUGUUCUUAUUACCUUAUGCCAGUCUAGAAGAAGACCAGUGGCAAAGCGUGACCAAGACAUAUAUGGUGGGGCCUAUUUUGUAGUGAUUGAACAGUACGUAGUUCCAAUAGUAUGGCAGUUAAAGUAAAUGUCAUAAAACAACAAUAAAAUGGAUAUAUGUCGCAAAAAACUAUAUUUCUAUUCUCAUAAAAUAUCCAAAACUACACAUUUAUUAUCAAUAUGCAUCAAAGGACUACUCUUGUAAACUAUGAGCGAAAGUGCAUAAUUUUCUAGAAUAGAAUGAGCGGAAAAUUGUAGUUUUGUGACAUGCACUGACAACAAGAGUGUAAUUUUUGUUUAAUGCAGUUCUAUGGUAUGUCUGUCUAGAAAAGUUUACUUUUUGUAAAAACAGUAUUUAAAAGGGCAAUCUUUGCAAUACACUCCGUCCUUCAAUACAAGGGAUCCUUGAAAAUUUGAGAUAGAUUAAGGGAUGAGUAAUAGACUCAUUUGCCCCUCAUUAAGAGGGCGCAUCACAUGAUUUUUCGCACAGCAUAAUCAUAAAUAAGGUAUUUGGGAUUCAAAUCUAGGACCUCUUACUCCAUAUGUAGCCUCAUCAUUAUUAUCAUCUCACGUGCACUACGUAUAUGGCUUAUUAAGAGAUUCUAUUUUUUAACAUCACAUCUGUAUACUUUUUAUUACCUACUUGGUGACACAAACAAUCUAAAAUAAAAAACUAUUUCAUGAAAAGAGUUGUAGAUCAUCCAUGAUCUACAAACUUUGAUAUAGAGUUUAUAUCUGUACGAGGUCAUUUGAAAAAUUCAAAUAUUUGUUUGUUUAAAUAGGUCUGAGGACUUGUAACAAAUAUUUGGGCUCCUAAACGAUCCCAAAUGGAAAUAUUAUUAGUGACUACAAAGUUGUAUAGCUUGUCGAGCUAUACAAUUUUGAUAUAGAAUUUGUCUUCUCUAACUUCAUAAUAUAAAAUGUAUGAUUCUUUCAUUAAAAUCGGGAUGUUUGGACUUAUAGAAAUCUAAGUGUUGUGAAAAAGAUUUUUUGGAGUAGCGAGUAACCUUAAUUACCACAUGGCGCGGAAUUUUCAAAGGGUCCAUGUCAUAUUUAUAUUUUAUUUGCAUUGGUCCACCUAUAUGUUGUGUAGAACUAAUUAAGCAUGAAUUGACACUGAUUACAUAAAUCUUAGGCUAAACAUGAUCACAGUUUCUAGACACAUGCAUAUAUAAUAGAUGCAUACCGGUGUUGUUGUUCGGCAUGGAAUCCUGUGUACUUGAUGUAGGUAGGCGUCAGUGUGUUGAUGAUGGCGUUGAUGUAGUCACCGAUCAAAGGGCUGGGUGAACUCUAUUCUCGAUCGCCGGCGAGCUAGCUUGGGGUUACAGCGGUCCGAUCCUCCGGUUGGCAACGAGAUUGUUCAGGAUACGGCCGGACAAGCUUCUAUCCUCCUCCAAAGGCUGGCUCUAAGUUGAUAGCUGGUUUAGGCCAGGGUUUGCUAGAUUGCAUGAAUUGGAUUGAUAGGUAGGCAUCCUGCUUAGGUAUAUAUAGCACUGUAGAGCUAAGGGUCCUUUCAUUUUAUCUUAUUUAAAUCGGUUGUAAAUCCAUCGUAUUCGAAUUCCCAGUUUGGUUUUUGUUUUCCUUUCCUUGUCAGUCACGGUUGGUACGGUGGAGACCAUGGCCAGCUAUGUCCUCUUGGUUGUUGGCUGAGAUCACAUUCUUGCUUUACUGCAUGUGGACAGCUGCUCGCUUUACUCUUAAUUAGUCCUGGUACAUUAUUAAGACAGAAAGAAUGGCCGCCAUCACAACGUUUACAUUACGAAAAGCUCUAAUAACUAGCCAGCUAACCAUGCAUGUUCAACUAAGAAUUGAUGCGCAUGUGGACAACUGCUCGCUUUCUAUGAUGAAUACCUCGUGACGAAGUGGUCCAUUCUAUUAAUAUAUUAUUUACAUCUUUUCGCAAAAUUUGUUGUGCUAGCUAUCUAUAUUUUCUUGAUAAAUUUACACUUUCAUUGCUUCACAAUUUCAAGAUAAUUAGUAACUUUCAAAAUUUAGAAAAGGGAACUUAGGAAAAGCAAAAUGUAUCACAUAUGUUAACUAAAUGUAAUCACUAGCCCGCACAAACGUUGGAGGCAAACCAAGUAGGGAAUGGUUAACAGCCUUGAUGCCGGCAUGUACACGUACGAUGGGAAUUCAAAAAAAGGAUGAAGUUUAUUUUAUACUAUCUCCAUUUAAAAAUACUUGACGUAAAGUAUUUCCAAAUGGAGGGAGUAUAUUCCUUGGUCCAAUUUCUACUAUUUUAAAUGCACGUGGGCCAUUGCUGGUUCCAUCCAUCGUCCAGGUACGUGGAUGUAGAAUGAUUCGUCAUUAUUAUCGACGACGAUUUGGGCCGAACACAAUAAUGAUCUGGCUAACCUUGCCCACUAACUAAUAAGAAUAUUAGACUUUGUAUAUGCAAUGCGUAUACACACCAUGCCCCAGAAUUUUCAAAUCGUCGAGGUCUUAUUUAUGAAUUAUUCGGUCCAUUUGUAUUCUGCUUUAGUGCGUCGGGCAAGUGCUUUCUCCAUGUGUGCUUUUGCGUCUGUCACAUCAAAUGUUUAGAUACUAAUUAGGAGUAUUAAAUAUAGGCUAAUUACAAAAUUAAUUGCAUAGAUGGAGUCUAAUUCACGAGAUGAAUCUAUUAAGCCUAAUUAGUCCAUGAUUUGACAAUAUGGUGCUAGCUACAGUAACCAUUUGCUAAUGGUAGAUUAAUUAGUCUUAAUAGAUUCGUCUCGUGAAUUAGCACAAGGGUUCUGCAAUUAGUUUUAUAAUUAGCUCAUGUUUAGUUCUCUUAAUUAGCAUCCGAACAUCCGUCCAUGAUUUGACAAUAUGGUGCUAGCUACAGUAACCAUUUGCUAAUGGUAGAUUAAUUAGUCUUAAUAGAUUCAUCUCGUGAAUGAGCACAAGGGUUCUGCAAUUAGUUUUAUAAUUAGCUCAUGUUUAGUUCUCUUAAUUAGCAUCUGAACAUCCGAUGUGACACUACCAAAGUUUAGCACCUAUUAUCCAAACACCCCCUUAGUCCAGGUACAUUGGAGAUGGAAUGAUUGAUCAUCAUUACAAUCACGAUUCACGACCAUUAGGAGGAAAAGCAAUAGUAAUGACCGGGCAAACCUUGUUUAGUCACUAUUUUUUUAUAAUGAAAGAUUUAUUGAUUCCGAAUAGCAAUACAUAUCGAGUUGAUAUAAAAUUUUGAAAAUAAUAUUGCAUAAAAUUUUGAAAAUAAUAUUGACAUAACAAUGCAAACAACCUAAAAUUUGAACAAGACUAACACACUAUUGACAAUCAGUCCUAGCUAACACUAGACCGGUACGCAUGUGUUUGGGUUAAAAAUUCAUUGACCACCCACGUCAAGCGUUAUGAUGCCGUUACAACCAAUUGCUGUGAAGUUGGCUUUCGCAGGAGAAUCCGUAGCUACAGCUAAUGAUAAUUAAGUAGAUAUGGCAUUUCAGAGCGAACGUUUAAUUCUUUCAUCAUAAAUUUAUUUCAUAACAAUUUCGAUCCAUGGUGGAAAGUGUGACCUAGCUGUCAGGCCAAAAUUCGUCAUAAACUACUCCUAUGGCAUAUUCGUUAUAAACAUAACUACUCAUAUGACAUUGUGACGAUCAAUCUUUCAUGAUAGUCUUUGUUCAUGAUAAUUUUUAAUCAAGCAUGGCUCACCAGUUUGAGCGAGAACCCCGUACCAUUGGGUGUCACAAGUUAGAUUUAGGUAGAAAAAAAGUAAUUUGUUAAAUUUUCAUAAAUUCUAAAAACAUUUGUAAAAUUCAGAUAAAUAUUAUAAAAAUUUAUAAAUUUCAUAAAUAUUUACUAAACUUUAAUAAAUUCUAAAAAUACCUUUUGGAAUUCCAAAAAUGUUAACAAAAUUCCAAGAGAUAUUUAUAAACUUUUAGGAAAUAUUUGUAACGGUGGAUAGUCGAUGAGGACAUCACCUGCUCGGAUACAACCACAUUGUCAACUUUUGAUUCAAAGAAAUAUAUACGUGGAUCAAAAAGAGGUGUUAAACACACAUGGAAGGUAUGGAGGACCAAAGAAGUUGAUCGAUUGGGAACAAGUCAGAGUAUUCCCAACGUCCUCCACCAGGCCACCAUGUCACUUUUGGCCCAAGGAAGGAAAGAGAUCAAAUCCAACUCGUUUCAGGGUUGGAUUCGGACUGCAGAAUAGCACCAACUUGUGAUGGAUUGGGACGUUCUGAAAUCCUUAUCAAGUCUACUUUCAUACGGAUCUGGACUCAUGUCAAUAUCUAUUCUAAGACGGCUGUAAUCAUCAAAUUACUACCGAGAGGUUUUUCUAUCCAAGGUGUUGUAUCGCCUUAUUUUGACCUAAUGGGUUGUGUAUCAAGUUGAGUCCAUUAGGGAUGCGUCCUAGGGUAGGAGCACGACCCCAAAAACCUUUUUGUCAUCCUCCCACAUUCUUAUACCGCUUAGCCGCCACCAGGAACACUCGAGUUUUGUUUAAAUGUAAGUUUAGCCAUUGCUACUUCCUUGUAGACACGUGUGUCGACUAGACCGUUCUACUCGAUUAAGAACCCCAACUUUGUGAUUUCAAAUUAAUUUUUAUCUCCAUAUUUGUAAUUGAGUUGCUUGUUCUACUUGUUCUUGCUUGUUCCUCGAUUGCUUGUAGGUAUAUAUAGCAUUGUAGAGAUAAGGGUCCAUUCCUUUUAUCUUGUUUAAAUCGGCUGUAAAUCCAUCAUACUCCCAAUUUGAUUUUUGUUUUCCUUUCUUUGUCGGUCACGGUUGGUGGAGACCAUGGCCAGCUAUCCUUUGCUUUAGUCCAUAUGGGCAAUUGCUCGCUUUACCCUUAAUUAGUCCUCGUACAUUGAGAGUGAUUGGCCGCCAUCACAACGAUUACAUUUGGAAAAGCACUACUAAUUAGCCAGCUAACCAUGUUCACAUAAGAAUUGAUGCACAUAUGGCUUUAUAUGAUGAAGACCUCAUGACAAAGUGGUCCAUUCAAUUCUAUUAAUAUAUUAUUUAUUACAUCUUUACACAAAAUUUGUUGUGCUAGCUAUCUAUAUUUUGUUGACCAAUUUACAAUUUCAUUGCCUCACAAUUUCAAUAUAAUUAGUAACUUUCAAAAUUUAGAAAAGGGAACUUAGGAAAAAUAAGAUGUAUCACAUUUGUUAACAGCCCGCACAAACUUUGGGGGCAAACCAAGUAGGUAAUGUUUAACAGCCUUGGAUGCCAGCAUACACAUGCACGACAGUAAUUUUUUAAAAAUGGGACGAAGUUUAAUUUGUACUACCUCCAUUUUUUAUGCAAUAAGCACAUUAGACUUUGUAUGCAAUGCAUAUAUAAACACCGUGCUCCAGAUUUUUCAAAUGGUCGCUGUCUUAUUUAUAAAUUUAUUUGUUGCACUAGCUAGCUGGGUGCCCGUGCGUUACUAAGAAAUACUUAGUUACAUAUGCAUAAAUUCAAAUUAUCAUUAGAGAAGAUCAAGUGAGAUUCACGUUGGCCAGCUAUCCUUUGCUUUAGUCCAUAUGGGCAAUUGGUCGCUUUACCCUUAAUUAGUCCUCGUACAUUGAGAGUGAUUGGCCGCCAUCACAACGAUUACAUUUGGAAAAGCACUACUAAUUAGCCAGCUAACCAUGUUCACAUAAGAAUUGAUGCACAUAUGGCUUUAUAUGAUGAAUACCUCAUGACAAAGUGGUCCAUUCAAUUCUAUUAAUAUAUUAUUUAUUACAUCUUUACACAAAAUUUGUUGUGCUAGCUAUCUAUAUUUUGUUGACCAAUUUACAAUUUCAUUGCCUCACAAUUUCAAUAUAAUUAGUAACUUUCAAAAUUUAGAAAAGGGAACUUAGGAAAAAUAAGGUGUAUCACAUUUGUUAACAGCCCGUACAAACUCUGGAGGCAAACCAAGUAGGUAAUGUUUAACAGCCUUGGAUGCCAGCAUACACAUGCACGACAGUAAUUUUUUAAAAAAGGGGAUGAAGUUUAAUUUGUACUACCUCCAUUUUUGUAUGCAAUAAGCACGUUAGACUUUGUAUGCAAUGCAUAUAUAAACACUGUGCUCCAGAUUUUUCAAAUGGUCGCUGUCUUAUUUAUAAAUUUAUUUGUUACACUAGCUAGCUAGCUGGGUGCCCGUGCGUUACUAAGGACUACUUAGUUACAUAAGCAUAAAUUCAAAUUAUCAUUAGAGAAGAUCAAGUGAGAUUCACGUAAGAGAAAUACAUAUACUGCAUGUCUCUAAGCAAGAAGAUUAUCAUCUCAAAGAAACAACCCCUACUAUAGUGUUGCCGAAUCUUGUAACUUCCAUUUGCUCGAGAACAGUUGAACACAAUACUUCAUGUAGUAACUAACUAAUCCACCAGAUGUAUGUAGCUGGUUGCCCGUGAAAAAAAAUCAUAUGUUUUGGUACACAAAUAGCAAUUUACAAAUUUUCUUUGUAAAUUACAAUUUUGUUUAUACAUAGUACAAAAAUAUAACACCUAGGAAAAGGGUAUUGUUUUUUUUCAAAUUGUUUUAUAAGUUAAAAAAAGAAAAGAGAGAGAAGGAAGUCCAGUUUUGCCUCGUCAAGUAAAUGGCAUUCUGGAUGAAAUGAAGGAUCGGUGGAUUCAUCUAGUCGAUCUGUUUGCUGGUCUUUGAAAUACAUAUUGCUGCUGCUGCUGCUGCUACCACGCCUCUGUAAAUUCUUGUUGCUGUUGUCGUGCACACUUCCGGUUCUAGUACUCUGCUGCCGCGCUAAUACUUGUGGCUGGUGCCACACACUGCAACUACAUCGAUCCAGGAUCCAACAUCUCAUGGAACAAAUUCUUUUCCCCGGUCACCAUGAAGCAUCUCGAUCAAUUCUGCAUGCACAAAAGGAAACAACAAGAGAAUAAAACAGAAAUAGCGUCACAGAUAUUCAGUUUUAGAAAUCACUGCCAGAGCCUCACUUUGCAGUCUAUGUCUACCUGACCCUGACGGAGCCUUUGCCACCGCAUCCAAAGCACCCCUGUUGCUACAACCAAAGCCGUCCAACACUCCACCACCCUCCUGGGAGCAUCAUCGGAUAAAGGCACGCCAACCCCAAUGAGCGGCAGCGACGACUCCGCAGCCUAGCUCGGUGCAGGCGGAUGCCGCUGCCAGUUCGCCGCCGUGUUUUCCACGUCCUCGGCGCGUCCCCGGCGUGCUCCGUGACCUCAGUCCUUGUCUCCGAGGUCGCACGACGUGCAGAUAGGCAGAUACUCCCUCUCGGCGACACGACAGUAGCUGUGCGCCAAUGCACCUCAACCUUCCAGCUCACCACGGUUUACGGCCCGUCCAGGCACAAUGAGAAAGGGGCCUUCCUCCAACACAUGCGUAGCUUAAAGCCGGAUGAUGACACCAACCAUGCCGCAUUAUUUGGAGUAUUGAAAGACGGUCCAUGCGGCUUUAUUUGGAGUAAUGAAAGACGUAGACCAACUAUAAGCCGCAUGGACCGUUUUUUCUGUAACGAAAGCUGGGACUUGACUUUCGACGGGGUCACGUUCUACACGCACUCUCUUCUUCACACUUCGACCACUGCCUGCUGCUACUUGCUCAGCGCUCGGGGCCGCGUGGACCAUCAACCUUCAAGUUCAAGAAUUUUUGGACUCGCCUCCCACGUUUCCAGGAAAUUGUCAGUGACGCAUGGAACAAACCGACGCAACACAUUGAACCAUACCAUCGAUUGAGCCACAAGCUCUGCGUCACAGCAAUGGCUCUGAGGAAAUGGAGCUCUACUAUCAUCUCGGAUGCCAGAUUGAAAUUUCUCAUGGCCCAGGAGGUCAUUCUGUGUCUCGACGUGGCACAAGAACUUCGAGAACUGUCCAACGCUGAACUCUCACUACGCGGAAAGCUCAAAAAGAGGCUGCUAGGAUGGGCGAUCGUGGAGAGAGCAAGGAAGAAACAGUGUUCACGAAUCACAAAUAUUAAAGAGGGAGAUGCCAACACAAAAUUACCUACGAGCAAACGGCCGGCGACGAAAAAACUUUAUUUAGUGACUAUGAAAAGCGCAGGGAUGGGCCGUAACACACCCCGACAAGCAAGAAAUCAUCUGUGAACAUUUUAAUGCCACGAUGAGUGCUCCCGAACAACAACGUCAUGAUUUCCGCUAGGAAGACCUUCCUUUUCGAGAGGUCGACCUGUCUUCACUGGACAGCCCAUAACCGAAGCCGAGAUCAGGCAGGCCAUCUCAAAACUACCUCAGGACAAGGCGCCAGGUCCAGAUGGAUUCACAUGAUGGUUCUUUAAACCGUGCUGGGACACUAUCAAAGGCGACGUAGUGGCGGCAGCUAGUCAACUCGUUUUUUAUCUACGCUGAAGGACCUGCAAUGACCUGAACCUCCUCAACACAGCCAACAUCGUCCUCAUCCAAAAAAGGAUGGCGCAGAUACAUUAAGGACUACAAGCCAAUCAGCCUCAUCCACACCUUCGUGAAAAUAAUUAGCAAGAUCCUAGCACUGCGAUUAACACCUUACAUGCACCAGCUUAUCUCACCAUAUCAAAACGCCUUCAUCAAGGGGUGUAGCAACUUUCUAUACGUCAGGAACAUCGCUCGACGAUUCCAUAGGAACAAGACAACGGCGCUACUCAUGAAGUUAGACAUUUUGAAAACCUUCAACUAAGUCCGCUGGGACUACUUAAUGAGCCUAAUGCAGAAUCGAGAAUUUCCGCAACGGUGGCGGAACUGGAUCGCGGCUACUCUCACCACCUCCUUCUCAAGUACUCUCACCACCUCCUUCUCCAAGAUACUACUGAAUGGCAUUCCCCUGGAGCCAAUCCUCCACGGCAGAGGCCUGCGGUAGGGAGAUCCCCUGUCGCCGAUGCUCUUCAUAUUGGCCAUAGACCCCCUCCACAAACUACUCAAUCGAGCAACAGAGGCAGACUACAAGAAACACCCCCUCUAGAUACGUUUUAUUUUUAGAUUAGAUACGCUUUAUUUCAUCUCUAGUGAAUUAUAGAUACGCUUCACUAAAGCAUGUCUGGAGCGUCUCCCCAUGGACCGUGUCAAGAACUGUAAACAUGUUUUGUCAAACGUGUCUACAAGAUAAGAGACGCUUUCUAGAGACGGUGACAAGUGUGUCUACCCGACAUGAGACGUUUUCUAAAGACAGUGCUAAGCGUGUCUCGUAGUAGACAUGAAACGCUUCGCAGAUAUGGUGAAUUACGUAUCUACGCCUUAUAGACAUUUUAAAUUAAGCAAAGUUGAUGCGCUCUUUGUAUUUUUCUUUCUCAAUGCUAACAGUUUCAGGAACUAUUUUCUAAUAUAAUACAUGCGUAACCAUAUUUACUUUGGACACCAUAGUACGGAUGAAAAAGUACAUGAAAUGUAUUCAUUUAAUAUUAGAGCAAUAGAGUUAGCAACAAAAUUAAUCAUCCCCAUACAUUUAGAUAUUACAUAUUCCCUUAAAACUUACACAUUGCAUUCUAAUUCUAUUUAAAAAGCUUUGCACAAGCAGACAGACACUUCUCUUCGAUUCUCAAUCUAUCUUCGCCUAUGUUUAUUGACAUGCUUCUAUGAUCCUGCAAAAUAAAUAAAUAAAUAAAUUCAAUAAAAGUUCUAGAAAAUACAACCACACAUAUUUCUGUCAUGAAUUUAGAAAAAAAGGCUUAGCUAGCGAUAG